This 431-nucleotide ribosomal RNA is filed under the name uncultured bacterium. Its description in RNAcentral is "partial 16S ribosomal RNA". It matches the Rfam family "Bacterial small subunit ribosomal RNA", at positions 29 to 507 of the family's 1533-position model. The record is from RNAcentral.
AACGAACGCUGGCGGCAGGCCUAACACAUGCAAGUCGAGCGCCCCGCCCGGGGUGCGGCGGUCGGGUGCGUAACGCCUGGGAAUAAGCCCGUGGCUACGGAGUAGUUUAGGGAAACUGGACUUAAUAACAUAUACGCCCAUUGGGGGAAAGAUUUAGCGGCGAAGGAUGAGCCCUCGUUGGAUUAGGUAGUUGGUGGGGGAAUGGCCGACCAAGCCGACGAUCCGUAGCUGGUUUGAGAGGAUGAUCAGCCACACUGGGACUGAGACACGGCCCAGACUCCGACGGGAGGCAGCAGUGGGGAAUCUUAGACAAUGGGCGCAACCCUGAUCUAGCCAUGCCGCGUGAGUGAUGAAGGCCUUAGGGUUGUCAAGCUCUUUCAGCUGGGAAGAUAAUGACGGUACUAGCAGAAGAAGCCCCGGCUAACUCCGUG